This 439-nucleotide ribosomal RNA is filed under the name uncultured bacterium. RNAcentral describes it as "partial 16S ribosomal RNA". It matches the Rfam family "Bacterial small subunit ribosomal RNA", at positions 339 to 795 of the family's 1533-position model. The record is from RNAcentral.
CUACGGGCGGCACCAGUGAGGGAUAUUGCACAAUGGGGGGAACCCUGAUGCAGCAACGCCGCGUGGAGGAUGACGCAUUUCGGUGUGUAAACUCCUUUUAUAUGUCAAGAAAAUGACGGUAGCAUAUGAAUAAGCACCGGCUAACUCCGUGCCAGCAGCCGCGGUAAUACGGAGGGUGCAAGCGUUACUCGGAAUCACUGGGCGUAAAGGACGCGUAGGCGGGUUGGAAAGUCAGGUGUGAAAUCCUACAGCUUAACUGUAGAACUGCACUUGAAACUUCUAAUCUAGAGUAUGGGAGGGGGAGAUGGAAUUAGUGGUGUAGGGGUAAUAUCCGUAGAUAUCACUAGGAAUACCUAAAGCGAAGGCGAUCUCCUGGAACAUUACUGACGCUAAGGCGUGAAAGCGUGGGGAGCAAACAGGAUUAGAUACCCUAGUAGUC